UAAGAUGAAAUUGAAUAAAGACAGGCACAAAGUAGUACACCACUUAGGACGGAAAAAAUCAAAUGCACAAAUACAUAAUGCGGGGUAAUUUAAUAGGCAGCUGCAUGAUAGAAAAGGAUCCCUAAGAGGGAAGGGUUAUAGUGGAUCACAAACAGAAUGAGACAAUUUGUGGUGUUGAAAAAAGGCAAAUCUCAUUCUGGGGUGCAAUAAAAGGAGCAUCAUAUGUAAGACAUAGGAAGUAAUUAUUGGUCUCUUCCAAGAUUUGGUGAGGCCUCAACUGGAGUACUGUAUCUAACACUGGGCACCAAACUUUAAGAUGCAAACAAACAGAAGCAAAUCUAGAGGAGAGCAACAGAAACAAUGGGUUUGGAAAAUGGCCUUGCUGUGGUCCCCCUACUUUAUCCGUAGUAGGUUAGGUUAUGUCUUGGGUUAUGUGUCAGGGUUGACCGUAUAGUUUUGCUAAAAGGUUACACAAUGGAUUUAUAUAAGGUAGUUUGGAUAGAAUGAUCCUGCCUUGGGCAGGGGGUUGGACUAGAUAACCUCUUGAGGUCUCUUCCAGCCCUACUUCUCUAUGGUUCUCUGAAAGGUUGAAUGUGUUCAGUCUAAAGAAAGGAAGCUUGUCCCACUUUUAACUUGGUAUAAGUUAUCCAAUGUUAAAACCUGAUUUAGAUGGUGAUCAAGCUUGUUUUCCAGGUCCAGCAGAGAAAGCACCAGAAGUAAUUGGCUUUUUUUGCAGCCUGAGAGAUGAAGUUAGAUGUUAGGAUUUUUUUUUAAUGGUAAAGGAGAGCUAAGUACUGGAAUAAGCUACCAAGACAGGUUCUAAAUCCCCUUUGUUGGGAGUUUGUUUUCUAAAUUUUUCUUAAGUGUCAGGGAUGGUGGACAGAUACUUGAUUGUGCCGUAGUAUGAACUACAUGACUCCUGAUAGUCCAUUUUAGCUCUUCAUUUCUCUGAUUUCUAUGUUUGGUAUUGUAAAUAGAGUGCAGUUCUCCAAGGUAGAAAUUUGUUAUGCUUUGAAAAGACUAUCUGCUGGAAAUCUAAUCAACUUCAAAACACAAGAGAUUUUUUUUUUAGGCAUUGUGUGUGCCUGAGUUUCUUUGCAACUUUGAUUCACAACUGCAUUUUCCCAUUGAAAGGACACUUUCAUGUUACUAUAUUAAGUACUCCUAAAAAAAGACUUUUCUUAAAAGAGAAUAUCUUGAAAGUUUGAUGUGGGCUAUCAAAAAAAGAGAUUUUUGCUUUGUAUGUUUCUCCUCCUCUUUGGUUAUUAAUUUUAGUUCUUUAAUAGGUUAAAAGACAGAUGCAGGCAAAUUGGUGCUGCCACUGGUGCUCUUGAGUUACAAUAUUCAUAGUUUUAUGAAGCAGUGAUGAUUAAGGAGGCAGGUAUACACUGCAGUAUUGGAAUGACGCUGAAAACAACUCCAGAGGAAACAAGUGAGAGAUCCAGAUGGUCUCUGAUCCUGUGUCAAACAACACAGGAAAGCAUAAAAAGUGACAAAUUGUUUGUGAGGCACAGCCAGAAAAACUCUUAACUUAAAGGUAAAAGACAUGGAAGAUGGAGCAGGAGAUUAUGUAAUCAAGAGCAGAAAUCUAGUCAGGGUUGACAGUGACAACAACACUGGAAUCUGCAGAAAGACCAAAGUGCAGGCUCUGAGGGAAGAGGAAUGACUGUUGAAGCAACAGCUGCCAUUGCCCAAUUCUGAGAUUUGAAGCAAGUGUUUCCUAUGUUCUUUAUGUCUUCUGCUAUUGACACAAUCUUGUCCACCUAUAAAAUAAUUUGGCAGAAGACAUUUUGAGAUGGGUCAGAUGAAAUAGUUGACAAAUCAAAUAGUUAAAAUAAUGUGGAACAGAACAUUCUAAACCAG
This is a long non-coding RNA of Alligator sinensis (Chinese alligator), 1863 nucleotides long. RefSeq lists it as uncharacterized. The transcript has 3 exons. The record is from RefSeq and is a predicted model, not a curated record. Lineage: Eukaryota; Metazoa; Chordata; Crocodylia; Alligatoridae.